GACAAUUGCAUACAUGCAUUAGGUUGUGUCUAAAUAUUGAGCCCAACUCUAGAAGUGUCUAGGAAAGUCAAGUUUAAACCUUUUCCUCUAUCCUCUCAUAAUCUUUUUCCAAUAUCUCUUGCGUGUCAAUCAAGUCAUUACUCCUAACAUCAAUUCUCUCUUUUCUCUCUCUUCCUCAAAAAGAAAAAUUCUCUGACUCAUCACCUCUCCAAUACUUAUCCGCUGCAAAAGCACUUCAUUCCAAAAUAUCUCAUUCUUCGAGAAAUACAAUAUCUCUUUCCAAAUCCAAGUCGUAAUAAGUGCAUUAAAUGGACAAGACAAAUCACAAUCGACUAUGACUAAUUUUCCACUUUAUUUAAGUCGACUAUACUUUCUUCAUAUUCUCAGCUCAUUCACUCCUCUAGAAAACCUAAUUUGCACUUCUCUCGAAUACUUUCUCCAACUUCUGAGUUCUCAAUCUCUCAAUCUAACAAAUCAAUGAAACCAUCAUCAAAACCUCUAGACCAUCAUCAUCAUCAUCUCCGAUCACCGGACCAAGCUGAAUAUGAAAGUCCAACAACCCUUCCUGCUCUCGUAUUCAUAACUUACUUGCUUUACACAAGUAGUCCUUCCACCUAACCUACAACCUUCACAGUAGGCCCAUACCUUACCCCACCACCACUUUCUUGUGUUUUCCUUCUAUCUCCCCAACUCUUUUCACACAUAUCCCCUCAUGUCUCUCUCUUCCCAUCAUUCUCAUCCUCUUUGUUUCUCCACCACCAUCACCUCCUCAUCCUCCUCCAUCACCAGACCCAUUUGUCCCCUUGUCGUCCUAUUCCCUUAUGACCCUUUUCUUCUCCCUUCUUCCUGCUACCUUCCUUUCCUGUGUUGGGUCGUGAUGUCCUUUCUCUCCUCCCCUUUUUAUGUUUAUCAAAUAAGGGGGAGAAAAGAGAUAAACGCAUAAGCUUUUAGGAGCAUGUACUCAGGGGGAAUACGUUAGACGAUAUGAUAGAAUAGGAUAACACAGAAUCAAGGGGAGUCUCCAGAUUCUUAUAAGUUCAUGCAUAACUUUGUACACAUUCAUGUAACAUGUUUACUUGUUUAAAUAUCAAUCUUUUAUUUAAUUUUUGCUCUGAUUUCAGCUUUCUUUUUUUUUACCAUGUUUAAUUAUUUUGUCUUUAUUUAUUUCAUUUGUUUAGAUCACUUGCAUGCAUAAUACAAAACAAUAAUAGAGAUA
Molecule: long non-coding RNA, 1216 nt
Filed under: Vigna radiata
Lineage: Eukaryota; Viridiplantae; Streptophyta; Magnoliopsida; Fabales; Fabaceae
Description: long non-coding RNA (VRAD_LNC015919)
Source: RNAcentral